Molecule: transfer RNA, 73 nt
Filed under: Camelus ferus (Wild Bactrian camel)
Lineage: Eukaryota; Metazoa; Chordata; Mammalia; Artiodactyla; Camelidae
Rfam family: tRNA
About the family: Transfer RNA (tRNA) molecules are approximately 80 nucleotides in length. Their secondary structure includes four short double-helical elements and three loops (D, anti-codon, and T loops). Further hydrogen bonds mediate the characteristic L-shaped molecular structure. tRNAs have two regions of fundamental functional importance: the anti-codon, which is responsible for specific mRNA codon recognition, and the 3' end, to which the tRNAs corresponding amino acid is attached (by aminoacyl-tRNA synthetases). tRNAs cope with the degeneracy of the genetic code in two manners: having more than one tRNA (with a specific anti-codon) for a particular amino acid; and 'wobble' base-pairing, i.e. permitting non-standard base-pairing at the 3rd anti-codon position.
Source: Rfam by way of RNAcentral
GAGGGGAUAGGUCAAGUGGUAGAGAGCAUGCUUAGCAUGCAUGAGGUCCUGGGUUCAACUCCCAGUACCCUCA